GACGAACGCUGGCGGCGUGCUUAACACAUGCAAGUCGAACGGUAAGGCCCUUCGGGGUACACGAGUGGCGAACGGGUGAGUAACACGUGGGUGAUCUGCCCUGCACUUUGGGAUAAGCCUGGGAAACUGGGUCUAAUACCGGAUAGGACCAUGCGCUUCUCGGUGUGUGGUGGAAAGCUUUUGCGGUGUGGGAUGGGCCCGCGGCCGAUCAGCUUGUUGGUGGGGUAAUGGCCUACCAAGGCGACGACGGGUAGCCGGCCUGAGAGGGUGACCAGCCACAAGGGUGCUGUGAUACGACCCAGACUCCGACGGGAGGAAGCAGUGGGGAAUAUUGCCCAAUGGGCGCAAGCCUGAUGCAGCGCCGCCGCGUGAGGGAUGACGGCCUUCGGGUUGUAAACCUCUUUCAGUAGGGACGAAGCGCAAGUGACGGUACCUACAGAAGAAGGACCGGCCAACUACGUGCCAGCCGCAGCCGCCG
Molecule: ribosomal RNA, 478 nt
Filed under: uncultured bacterium
Lineage: Bacteria
Description: partial 16S ribosomal RNA
Rfam family: Bacterial small subunit ribosomal RNA
Source: RNAcentral